RNAcentral lists this transfer RNA (75 nucleotides) under Oscillospiraceae bacterium. RNAcentral describes it as "tRNA-Glu". It matches the Rfam family "tRNA". Rfam says of the family: Transfer RNA (tRNA) molecules are approximately 80 nucleotides in length. Their secondary structure includes four short double-helical elements and three loops (D, anti-codon, and T loops). Further hydrogen bonds mediate the characteristic L-shaped molecular structure. tRNAs have two regions of fundamental functional importance: the anti-codon, which is responsible for specific mRNA codon recognition, and the 3' end, to which the tRNAs corresponding amino acid is attached (by aminoacyl-tRNA synthetases). tRNAs cope with the degeneracy of the genetic code in two manners: having more than one tRNA (with a specific anti-codon) for a particular amino acid; and 'wobble' base-pairing, i.e. permitting non-standard base-pairing at the 3rd anti-codon position. Lineage: Bacteria; Bacillati; Bacillota; Clostridia; Eubacteriales; Oscillospiraceae. The record is from RNAcentral.
GGCGCGUUGGUCAAACGGUUAAGACACCGCCCUUUCACGGCGGUAAUACGGGUUCGAUUCCCGUACGCGUCACCA